Talpa occidentalis (Iberian mole) is the source of this 5893-nucleotide long non-coding RNA. RefSeq lists it as uncharacterized. Lineage: Eukaryota; Metazoa; Chordata; Mammalia; Eulipotyphla; Talpidae. The transcript has 3 exons. The record is from RefSeq and is a predicted model, not a curated record.
UGCGCGCUCCUCGCCCGUGCGUCUCGUCGCUGCCGCCCCGCAAGCACUGACUACAUUUCAAAAGCUCAACAGUUAACCCCUUGUCCGUGGCUGCUGCAUCGGGUCUGCACUGUUGUGUGAAAACAGCAGGAAAUAAAUCAGUAGAUUCUGCAUCAAGUGCUACAUCGCCACACCUCAGUGUACUGGAACCUGCCACUCGGCCAUCAAUUAAGCCCUGGAUACAGCUGUCGAUGUUGCAGAAGUCAGGACAAGGUACGAACGAAGCUAAGAUGUUCCCGGAGUGCAAGCUAAAUCUCUAAGGAUAUUUGACUGUCCCCUCGCCAAGGCCACUUAGGGACAGUGGCUGACUAAGCAGUGCAUCGGAGGUGCUGUGUGCCUGUUUUCUGAUAAAAUAGACACAGCAAGGAACAAGAGCAUACCCAGCCUUUUAGAACAAACUCUGAUGGUGCUCUCUCACACAUCUGGUGUGAGACCCCAGAUGAACAGUCCCUGGGUCCUUCCUGUAGACAGUGUGGCUUGUGCAAGGGCGCAGGUAUAAAGCCUGCCUAAAGAGCAGUGAGAGGAAGAGGUGUUCGCUUUGAGCUACCAUGUUUGGCAUCGCCUUCCUGAACAUAUCAGCAGGAGUUGCCGCAAGGUGUGCUGAAAGCGCUUUGUGCCAGCGCACGGUGCUGGAGGUGUAAGCCCACAUGACCUUGCCUUACACUUACCCAGGGGUUGGUGUUAUUGCCUGGGUGCAGCCAAGUUCUGUGAGACACAAAGUCUGUGAGACCUUGAGCCUAUCUUCUGUUGGGCCCUUGGGCCCACACCUCGGCACCUUAUUCACAGUCCUCUAGGGCAACAAGAACAUUUUCUGACAUGAAGAGGGUUAACACAGGUGUGAGAGAGAACUGCCAUAUGGCUUGCUCACAGAUAUGUUCAGCUAUUGUGGCUGUCUAGAGCGUCAUCAGGGGAGUCAGCAGGCCUGUCUGCGUGUUCUUGGAUAAUGCCUCUCCUCCCCUGGAGUGUUCCCUCGAGCUCCAGGACUGUGGGUUCAGUGUUAGCUGCGAGGAAUUUCAUGAAAGCAAGUUUAGAGCACUAAACUCAGUAUAAACUUGGUUAUAAACUUGAUUCUGAAGGGUAUUUGUUCCCAGGUAACAAUUCAUGGAGGGGCAGGGGGAGCUUUAUAUAGAGACUGGAUUCAAUCUCAACACUUCCAAUGCAACAUUCCAUUGCUGCUACCACAAACAAAUGGAAAAAAGCUCUCCCAGGUGAACCCCUGUCCUCCAUGGGAUCACACAGAGGCUUAAGGGCAUUUUCUUUCUUUUCUUUUUUUUUUUUAAGAUUUAUUUAUUCAUGCAUACAGGAACCAGGGUACAGGCCAGACACGCAGGAGGGUGAGAGGACUCACCAGAGACAGAGCAGGGAACAGAACAGGCAGACUGACCGAAAUACACUGCUGAAGGGAGCAGCGGGCGCGACAGGAGAAGUCUGCUGCUUCAUGUGGGCAUCUCCCCAGCUGGCCGGGAUCGAACUGGUGCUGCAGAGGCUGCGGACAGCUUCACAGCACUGCACUCAACCUGCGCCACCAGGGAGGCCUGUUGAGGGCAUUUUCAUGCCCAAAAAUAUCCCAGUUGAACACCUCCCUCUGCCCACUUGGGAUGGGAGGGACAAGGGAGUGGCAUCCCAUAGUAGCGGGCAGGGUCCUGAGAAGCCGAUAUGAGCCGUGAGUGAGGUAACUAACAGCUGUAUGUGGUCCUAGGGACAAGGAAGACGCUCAUUAGAGAGGCUCCAAAAACCAUCAGAGACAACGUUUUUGGUCCCAGUGUGUUUUCUUUAUUGAGGAUAUGUUACCACUUUAUGUGGCGCGAGCUGGUGGUCACACUUGUGGAUUAUGUGGCCCCACUAUCCAAAAACGGUAGUCAAGAGGGCACUGAGAAAGGCGGAGGAGGUAGCCUCUGCAGAAGGACCUGAAGGGAUGAAGAACCCUGGACAACUACUUACAGCAUUUCUUGGUUAGUGCAACAUCUGUCCAGCAGAGCUUUCUGGGACAAGGGGCAUGUUCUGUCAGAUUUAAUAACCACUAGCUCCAGGUGGCUUUGGGGCACUUGACAUGUGACUGGUACCACUAAAGAACUGAAUUUAAAAUUAAUUUUUAUUUUAAAUUUCACUUGUCACAUAAAACGAGUGGAUCCUUUUGUGUACUGCAUAGAUUUAGUGUACUGUGGUGGCUUUCACUAGUGUCAUGCAUUUGUUAGAAUGAAAGGACCAGUGUUGAUACAGUAUCACUAAGUAAAGUUACAGUUUAUUUACAUUUCUUUGUUUUUACUUCAUGUCCUUUUUCUCUUCCAGAGUGCCACCCAGGAUACCAUGUUACCUUUAGUUCUCUUCUCUUUGUCUUUUACUAUGUAAUUGAUACAAUGUAAUAGCUUGGUCAGUGUGUGUGUAUAUAUUGUGAAAUAGUUUCGACUUAGAGUAACAUCCAGCACCACCCUUAGUUACAAUAUAUUUUUUUCUUGUAAUGAGAAUUUUCCAUCUACUCUCUUGGUUGUCCUUUCUCUUUAGUCUCUUCUUGGCUGUAACAGAUUUUUACAUCUUCAGAUUGGGGUGGGGGGGAGAAGAAAGGCAUUCUGUGCCAUGAGAAAAUUAAAUGAAAGGCAAAUUUAGUGUCCAGCCAGCUUGACAGGAACACAGCGUGCCUGCUGUGUGUGCGUGGCUGCCGCUGCCUUCAAGCAACAACAGCAGAGGGAGAGGCCAGCCCCUCAGGUCUGUGCAAGCUGCACACACACAAGCCCUGCUCUCCUGCCACCAUUCUGGAAAUCUUCAGUCGAUGGGGGCCUGCAUUUUUAUCUUGCACAGGGCUCUGAGAAAUUAUGCAGCCCCUGUAGGCAGCAGAGGCCACAUGAUCCCAAAUGCCUAAUGUAUUUACUCUGGGUCCUUUUUAGGAAAAGUUUACUCUAGCGGGCAGAAGAGCAGCCCCCCAAAGCUGUCCACAUUCAAAUCCCCUGGAACCAGUGAAUGUAUUACCUCACCUGGCAAAGGUUCUCUGCAGUUGGGUUUAAGUUAAGGAUCUGGAAGUGGGGGAUUUUCCUGGAUGAUCCAGGUGGGACCAAUGUAAUCAAGUGUUCUGAUAAGGAGGCAGGAGGGUUGGAAUCAGAGGUGAGGUGACGGCUGGAAGCAAUGACUAGUGAUGCUUUACUCUGAAGAUGGAGGAAGGAGCCAGGAGCGAUGGGAUGUGGGCAGCCUCUAGAAGCUAGAAAAAGCAAGGAAGCAGACUCGCAGCUGCACCUCCGGAAGGAAUGCAGGCCUGCCCACACUUUGAUUCUCGCUUCAGACUCACUUCAGGCUGCUCACCUCCAGGACUUUAAGGUGAUAAACAUGUGUUGCUUAAGUCAGAAAGAUGUCACUACUUUGUUACCACAGCCACUUGCCUACUAAGCCUGCCUCAGGCAUUGGGCAUCUGUGGGGCAAGAGAGAAAGUGUCGGGCUUUUCCGCCCUCCUGUCAUUAGCAUCAAUGAUGGAUCCCUGCGGUCCUGCAUGCAUGCCUGAUGGCGGGCACCUGAAGUGGGUGUGGGCAUGCAUAAGUGGGCACACCUGGGCUUUUAAGGGUGGCAUCACAGGAACGGAACCAAGAGAAGAAGAGCAAGAGUAGCAGCACAGGCACGAGACAAGAACAGGAGUGCCAGAGGGCCCAGAAAGAGUGAAGAUUCGCCAGGGGCCCCUGCCCACCAUGUACUUGGCAAAAGCUCAGUGAAAGCCUGAAAAGGCCGCCAAGGCCCCCAGGACUCUACCCGUCUGCUCGAGCAUAGAGAGCCUGCUCUGUGCCUUCUGGGCACUAUAGCAUCUAAUUAAAUUUGCCUUUCACUCAAAGAGAAGAUUAAAUGUACUUUCUGCCCCGGGAUACUGCCGAGAGGCGCUGUGAGAGGCUGCAUCCCGCUGUCCUCAGGCCUCAGCCGGUCUCCUGAGGAGCAGGACAGCUGCGGAAGCUCUUCGUCGGAGAUUCCAGUUUUGAAGCAAGCAACGAGGCUGAGAAGCCGUUCUGAGCAGCGGGGAUGCUCACAGACUGCCAUGAGAGCCACGCACCCAGUGACCCAGAGGCCGCGGUAUCACCAAUGCCACUGCAGGAGGAGGCUGCCGCCACGAAGGCAGGGCCACGCAAGGUGGGCGGAGAGCCACGGAACCAAUCAGGGCAGCUGAUUGGGAGAAGAGUUGCCAAGACCCCACGCCCACGUCACCGUGAGAAAGAUUUUUGUUGGUGCCAUCGAUGAAAUCACCAAAGAACAUCACUUAGGAGGUGAUUCUCUGAGCAAUCGGGAAAACGGAAGUGAGGCCAUGGCAGGAGGAGGGGCUUUGCCAGACUCAGAAUGGCCACACUGUGCAGUCGGAGCAGCCCCGCCCACCCAGAGAUGGCCAGCGCGCUUCCUGCCAGAGGGCGAGGUGGCUCUGGAAACACGGAAGUCAUGGAGGAGGCUUUGGUGGGAAGGAUGACUUCGGUCAUCUGGCAACGUCAGUGGCUGAGGUGGCUUUGGUGGCAGCCGCGGUGGGGUGGAUGUGGUGGCGGUGGGGCUGGCUGCCGGAGAUCAUGAUGGAGGCAGUUCUGGAGGUGGUGGAAGCUGCAGUGAUUUUGGCAAUUACAACACCAGUCUUCAACAUUUGGGCCCGUGGAAGGAGGAAACUUUGGAGGCAGAAGGUGGAGGCUAAAACUGCCAAGCCACGAAACCAAGGUGAUUGUGGUGGAUCCAGCAGCAGUAGCUGUGGGCAGGGCCAGAAGGUUUUAAUUAACUGCCAGGAACAAAGCUUAGCAGGAGAGGAGGGCCAGAGAAGUGACGGGGGAGCGACACGUCACAACGGAUUUGUGAGCUCAGCCAAGCACGGCGGUGGCAGGGCCUCGCCGCUACAGAGAAGAUGUGUUUCAGACGAUACCCAGGUGUAUGGGCAGAAAACGCCAGGACUGCAUUGGUGGCCAGCGGCGUAACAGGUUAUUUUAGUUUCUGUUCUGUGGGGAAGGUAAAGCAUUCCAAUAAAGGGUUUUAUGUAGAUUUUUUUUUUCCACCUGUGCUGUUGACUGCUAGUAGUCUGAUCAUGAUGCUGAAAAAAUGUGUCUUAAAAAAAAAGUAAAGUAGGGCCUCCCUGGUGGCGCAAGGGAUUAAACACAGCACUAUAAGCAAUCCGCAGUCUCUGCAGCAUGAGUUCAAUCCCCCAGCUGGCCAGGGAGCUACCCACAUGGUGCAGCAGCCCUCUCCUGUCUCCCCACUGCCCCCCUCAGCAGUGGAUUUCAAUCAGUCCGCCUGUUCUGCUCCCUGCUCUGUCUCUGGUGAAUCCUCUCAUCCCCGUACCUCUGGCCUGUACCCCAGUUUUUGUAUGCAUAAAUAAAUCUUUAAAAAAUAAAAAUAAAUAAACUUUUAAAUGUCUUAUGUGAGUAUUUGCGGAUGGAUGGAUGGAUGGAUGGAUGGAAAGGGAACUGGGGCAAGGGUGGCGUACGAAUGUGAAAACAGGAAGAUGUCAUGGAGGGAGUUUGUUCCAGCUGCCCAGGGGAGAGAGCAGCGCAGAAUAGAGCGAGGGUUCCAGAUGUUGGAGAGUUGUGAGCGAUGGGAAUGGGUGACCAGUCACAUGGAGAGGGCAGAGACCUGAUUCAUCAGAUGCGAUGUGGGGGAAGCCAUGGCAUGAACUACAUAUAUGGGCGGGCAUUGAUUGAGGGACAAAAGCAGUGGACUUAAACAUCCAGUGAGCCACGCAUUGGUCAACAUCCAGAGACCAGGCGUCAAGUGCAGCAUAUGUGCUGUCAGAAAGCCUGGCAGGCCCGAGCAGGCCCAGGAGCCCCGGCCCUGGACUUCCAUGGGGCCAGCUUCAUCAGAUGCCAUCCCAAGGGCUGAGUAGGGCAUUGUGUAGGAAAUUAUGAAGCUUGCUUCUUCCUAA